This 450-nucleotide ribosomal RNA is filed under the name uncultured bacterium. RNAcentral describes it as "bacterial SSU rRNA". It matches the Rfam family "Bacterial small subunit ribosomal RNA", at positions 354 to 796 of the family's 1533-position model. The record is from RNAcentral.
GUGGGGAAUUGUUCGCAAUGGGCGCAAGCCUGACGACGCAACGCCGCGUGGGGGAUGAAGGUCUUCGGAUUGUAAACCCCUGUCGAGCGGGACGAACGGCCUGAGAGGUAACUCUCUUGGGAGUGACGGUACCGCUAAAGGAAGCCACGGCUAACUCUGUGCCAGCAGCCGCGGUAAUACAGAGGUGGCAAGCGUUGUUCGGAAUUACUGGGCGUAAAGGGCGCGUAGGCGGCUCUUUUAGUCAGACGUGAAAUCCCCCGGCUUAACCUGGGAACUGCGUCUGAUACUGGAGAGCUUGAGUGCGGGAGAGGGAUGUGGAAUUCCAGGUGUAGCGGUGAAAUGCGUAGAUAUCUGGAGGAACACCGGUGGCGAAGGCGGCAUCCUGGACCGACACUGACGCUGAGGCGCGAAAGCUAGGGGAGCAAACGGGAUUAGAAACCCCGGUAGUCC